ACUCCUACGGGAGGCAGCAGUGGGGAAUAUUGGACAAUGGGCGCAAGCCUGAUCCAGCCAUGCCGCGUGAGUGAUGAAGGCCCUAGGGUUGUAAAGCUCUUUCACCGGAGAAGAUAAUGACGGUAUCCGGAGAAGAAGCCCCGGCUAACUUCGUGCCAGCAGCCGCGGUAAUACGAAGGGGGCUAGCGUUGUUCGGAAUUACUGGGCGUAAAGCGCACGUAGGCGGAUCGAUCAGUCAGGGGUGAAAUCCCAGGGCUCAACCCUGGAACUGCCUUUGAUACUGUCGAUCUGGAGUAUGGAAGAGGUGAGUGGAAUUCCGAGUGUAGAGGUGAAAUUCGUAGAUAUUCGGAGGAACACCAGUGGCGAAGGCGGCUCACUGGUCCAUUACUGACGCUGAGGUGCGAAAGCGUGGGGAGCAAACAGGAUUAGAAACCCCAUAGUCCCAUGA
This 448-nucleotide ribosomal RNA is filed under the name uncultured organism. RNAcentral describes it as "partial 16S ribosomal RNA". It matches the Rfam family "Bacterial small subunit ribosomal RNA", at positions 335 to 800 of the family's 1533-position model. The record is from RNAcentral.